This 496-nucleotide ribosomal RNA is filed under the name uncultured bacterium. Its description in RNAcentral is "partial 16S ribosomal RNA". It matches the Rfam family "Bacterial small subunit ribosomal RNA", at positions 28 to 506 of the family's 1533-position model. The record is from RNAcentral.
GAUGAACGCUGGCGGCGUGCCUAAUACAUGCAAGUCGAGCGAACAGACGAGGAGCUUGCUCCUCUGACGUUAGCGGCGGACGGGUGAGUAACACGUGGAUAACCUACCUAUAAGACUGGGAUAACUUCGGGAAACCGGAGCUAAUACCGGAUAAUAUAUUGAACCGCAUGGUUCAAUAGUGAAAGACGGUUUUGCUGUCACUUAUAGAUGGAUCCGCGCCGCAUUAGCUAGUUGGUAAGGUAACGGCUUACCAAGGCGACGAUGCGUAGCCGACCUGAGAGGGGGACCGCCCCCCCUGGAACUGAGCACCGGCCACAACCCCUCGGGGGGGCAGAAGGGGGGAACUUGCCCCAAGGGGGGAAAGUUUGACGGGCCAACCCCGGGGAGGUGAGAAAGGUUUUGGGAUCGUAAAACUCUUUUUUUAGGGAAAAAAAAAUGUUUAAGUAACUAUGCCCUUUUUGACGGUCCCAAAACAAAAACCCGCGGUAAACUCCGU